This is a non-coding RNA of Spinacia oleracea (spinach), 72 nucleotides long. The record is from Rfam. NCBI's taxonomy places the organism in Eukaryota, Viridiplantae, Streptophyta, Magnoliopsida, Caryophyllales, Amaranthaceae.
AUCCUACUAGCUCAAUAGGUAGAGCAUUGUGCUAAUGCACAAAAGAUGUGGGUUCGAAUCCCACGUAGGUUC